GAAAAUAGAAAAAGCAAUAUACAAACUACCUUGUGUUCAUUUUUGCCAACCCCAACGCCCGAUAACCUUCACACUCAAAAUCGUGGAUGUGUUAAAAAGGGGAGAGCUCUAUGGCUAUGCUUGCAUGAUCAGAGUAAAGCCAUUCUGCUGCGCAGUGUUCUCAGAAGCUCCCAAUUCAUGGAUAGUGGAGGACAAGUACGUCUGCAGCCUGACAACCGAGAAAUGGAUCUUCUACAGUUGUCUAAAGAUUUUGAAUGUCAGCUGAGUCUAUCUAGUGGGCCUCCCCUUAGCAGACCAGUGUACUCCAAGAAAGGCCUGGAACAUAAAAAGGAACUCCAGCAACUUUUAUUUUCAGGUAAUUAUGGUUUGUCUUCUCAACACCAGGAAGUUUCUAUAUUAGGAUAAAAGGAGAUUAAACUGUUGUAUUUGUUUUGUAAAAUCCUGAAAGUGCUCUGCAAACCCAUUUGUAAGACGUGAUGAUGUUACAAUCCUAUUGGUGAUAAGUGAUUUAGAAAUGAACACUCACUGACCCCACUGGCUAAGGCAGGACCACACGUAGAAUCCAGGAACAUUAUUUCC
Molecule: small RNA, 579 nt
Filed under: Pongo abelii (Sumatran orangutan)
Lineage: Eukaryota; Metazoa; Chordata; Mammalia; Primates; Hominidae
Description: retained intron
Source: RNAcentral